Molecule: long non-coding RNA, 1116 nt
Filed under: Parus major (Great Tit)
Lineage: Eukaryota; Metazoa; Chordata; Aves; Passeriformes; Paridae
Description: lncRNA (ENSPMJG00000015310.1)
Source: RNAcentral
CUGGAGGUCAAGGCACCUCCACAGUCCUUGGAGGACUGCCUAUCCUCUAGGAAAGGACAUCAGUUAACAAAUCCUUCUGCCUGAACAGAGUCCUGCUCAGGCAUGUACAACAUUCUUCUCACACACACACACCUCCCAAAUCUUCACAUACCAUGACAACUUAAUGUAUGUUACUAUUUCAGGGUUAUCACUCCUCUGGUAUCUGAUUCUGACACGAUGCUGCUAUCACCAGCUUCUGAAACAAGGGUGUCCUGGGGAUGGCUGAGUCUGGCCUGAUAUCAGCAUUGAAGAGUCUGUUGGCAUCAUAACACCCAUUUUUAGAAGAAAACUGUUUUCUCCUUCUUUACAUCGUCUCAGGCUUGCUCAAUGCUUUGAAGGAUACCAAUAUGACUUCAUCCUUGAAGAGCCGAAGCUUCUGUGUUCCUGUAAGUUUUGUCAUAUUUUCUUCCCUUUUCUCAGCUCUUUGAUGGGUAUAUUUAACACAGGGGGAUUGGUUGGUUGGUUGGUUGUCUGCUUUUUGUCAAAAAAGGCCAAACCAUAACAAACAGCAGCACUUUUUCUACUACUUAUUUUCCAGAGAUCUUUGAGAGUCUACAUAAGCAUCAGCAGAUUCUUCCUUAUCCAGUAUUGAUAUUCUCCAAGCAGUCUACAGCUACCUUGAAGUGUACUGCCAAACCUGGAUAUAUCAGCUUAGCUUUCAUCUCAUCGUUGUCAAGGAAAGUCUCCUAUGUAACCACUCUGUUUAUACAUUGCAGAAUUAUGUUUGAAGCUGCUUCCUCUUUGCUCUAAAGACACACUUGACCUGCCAGAGAGAUCUGAAGUUUUGCUUACAAUAUACAACAUAAAAUGCAUUUAGUUUAUGUUUUGACAUUCCAUUCCAUUUCAACCAUAAUUCUGUGGUAAACACACAAUGAAAAAGCUGGUAUUCUUGGCUCCCAUGAGGGUAUUCAGGUCUCAAAAUUGAACAGUUGACACAUCUGCAAGCAAAAAAAAAAACAAACAAAAAAGCACUGGUGCAGCUAACCCAAAAGUCAGGGCUGGAAAGCCCAAACUAAAGCAAGAAACAACAGCUAAAUUAAAAAUUGUUAAGGAAAAUAAAGAGUAGGCAGUUCUUCA